This 396-nucleotide non-coding RNA is filed under the name Candidatus Nitrotoga sp. 1052. The record is from RNAcentral. Lineage: Bacteria; Pseudomonadati; Pseudomonadota; Betaproteobacteria; Nitrosomonadales; Gallionellaceae.
AUACUUCGCGCCGCUUAAGGUGCCAGACACAGGAAUGCGUCUGGUUAAACGGGAAACAGGUGAGGGAAUUUAUUCCUCAGGCCUGUGCUGCCCCCGCAACGGUAAGCAGGUGUGGACGUGUUGAUAACUUGGAUGUUUCAUGAAUUCGCGUGAUGAUCGCGCAGUAUUUGUUUGAUAAGUAAAUUUAGUAAGGAAGGCGGGGCGCUGGCCUGGUUUAUCGAGGCGGUGGCUUCUCCCUAGCUGAUUAAAUUUGCAUAGUAGACAGAAACUAGCAAGCGACCAAUGCAAGACGCGUAAAUUAUGGAAAACCUGAGUUAAGCCACUGUGAGCAAUCAUGGGAAGGCGAUGCGUCUAGUCCUGCGAGCCCGGAUACCGGCCUUGAGCACAGGAGCCUCA